AUUGAACGCUGGCGGCAGGCCUAACACAUGCAAGUCGAGCGGAUGAAGGGAGCUUGCUCCUGGAUUCAGCGGCGGACGGGUGAGUAAUGCCUAGGAAUCUGCCUGGUAAUGGGGGAUAACGUCCGGAAACGGGCGCUAAUACCGCAUACGUCCUAAGGGAGAAAGUGGGGGAUCUUCGGACCUCACGCUAUCAGAUGAGCCUAGGUCGGAUUAGCUAGUUGGUGGGGUAAAGGCCUACCAAGGCGACGAUCCGUAACUGGUCUGAGAGGAUGAUCAGUCACACUGGAACUGAGACACGGUCCAGACUCCUACGGGAGGCAGCAGUGGGGAAUAUUGGACAAUGGGCGAAAGCCUGAUCCAGCCAUGCCGCGUGUGUGAAGAAGGUCUUCGGAUUGUAAAGCACUUUAAGUUGGGAGGAAGGGCAGUAAGUUAAUACCUUGCUGUUUUGACGUUACCAACAGAAUAAGCACCGGCUAACUUCGUG
This 484-nucleotide ribosomal RNA is filed under the name uncultured bacterium. RNAcentral describes it as "partial 16S ribosomal RNA". It matches the Rfam family "Bacterial small subunit ribosomal RNA", at positions 30 to 507 of the family's 1533-position model. The record is from RNAcentral.